Molecule: long non-coding RNA, 581 nt
Filed under: Phoenix dactylifera (date palm)
Lineage: Eukaryota; Viridiplantae; Streptophyta; Magnoliopsida; Arecales; Arecaceae
Description: long non-coding RNA (PDAC_LNC019845)
Source: RNAcentral
CGAGUUCGCUGCCAUGAAGCUAAGAAGCAAAGGGGCUUCCAAUGCCUCUCGACGUCCUCCACCUAGCCCGGAGCGUUCCGUCCGAAACCCAUCACCUCCGACCGAGUCAGUUCAUCAAGUUCGGCCGGAGCAGUUUGAUGCCCUGGUGCAACAAGUGCAAGCCUUGGCUACCGCUGUCCAAAGCUUGCAACCCAGGGGCAUCCUAACGGCACCGCCUCCUCCGGCUCCAGUUUAACCGGAGCCCCCUACAAGCGGGUUUCCCCUUCGAGUAUCAUGCUCCAAGUCCCAAACGCUCAGUCCAAAAUUCACCAUCAAGAUCUCCGGUAGAUCAAGUUCCACAAGUCCAACUCGAGCACUUCGAUGCGCUUGUGCAGCAAGUCCAAGCGCUAGCUAUUUGCAGCCCAAAGCCUGCAACAAGUGGAGGCCCCUCCUGUGCCGCCUCCACGGAAUCAUGUAAAGCAGAGGAAGAAACUUUCUCCUGACUCCCGAGCCAUCUCGAAUCAGGCAUGGCUCCCGCUGCAACGACGUAUGUGGGGGCAACCAGUGAGAAGUAGUAAUCCAAGUCUCACGUCAACGAGUUG